AGCCCCACAUGUCCCCUUGAACAGGAGCUGAGUGGAUGCAUUCAGAAUUAUGCUGGAGGCUUAAAGUUCAGGAAAAGCAGUAGAAUAAUGAAAUGAGAGGAAAAGGAGAAAUUGACUAGUACUGGAACGGCUGAUGAGGUGUCUGCACAUGUGAUGGUCAACCACUGAGUUAUCUUCAGUGUAUGUAGAAAUAAUGUUAAAGUGUUAACUUUGACAAAAAUUUAAAACUAUCAUCGGACCAUGACCUGUCUCAUGCCCAGGUCUGAUGCCUUCCUUCCAGCACAGCUGAGGACAGGUCCCACUGACUCAGAGCAGAGCAACUAACUGGGACAGCUUUGGAAAUGGUGGGGGCCAUCCCAGGUGGCAGGAGCAGGCACAGCUCCCCCAGCCAGGCUGGCAGGGUGCCCGCCAGCACAGGGCCAUGCUGAAGGCUGAACACACGCCUCUCCAGCAGGCACAACCUCCAGCUUCCAACAAAGCAUUUGCUAGCACUUCUGAGCAAAGUUUUGGAAGGGAAACUUAAUUGUUGCAUCCAUCUACACUGGUGGAUGGCAGAAUUUUGGUGGUAUGAGGGGUUCUUGGGGUGGUGUCAUCCCUAAGGUGUGCACUUGCCACACACUCAGAUGCGCUGCCUGGUCCCUGUUACACCUGGAGCAGAAGGAUGCAGGCAAUGUGAUGCUUGGAAGGUGUUUGGCAGGAGGAAAACUGGCCCUGCUGAUGCUAACAGCUGCUUUUCAGCUCGUAGUAUGCCAGGAGAGCCCUGAGCUUAGGAGUGACACAGACGGAUUAGGGAACAGCAGGACGCUUCACUUAAAAGGAUAAAAUGGGCAUUUUGCAUUCACUGGCACUCACCUCCUGCUCACGCUGAAAUAUUACAACCCUGCCCCCCUUGUCCCCUGUUGCCAGUAACUCUCCAGUGUGGUUGAACUCAACAGUGGAGAUGAUGUCAGCUGGUAAAGAGAAGACAAAGACAGUUUCAGUAACUGCAGCCUGACUUCCACAGGCAUCCAGGAAGCUCCAUGCCCUGUACAGCGACGUGCCUUGUUGGUACCCUGUGGCACCUCCAUAAAUCCCUGUUUUUCUACCAUCUUUAACACUGAACGGGCUCAGCAUUAUGCUGUCAUGGCCCCCUGCCCUGGCCUGUGUCCCAGCUCUGGUUCCAGUGGAUUUCCAGGGUCCAUCUGCAGGAUUCUGGGCUCAGUGGCAGGAGAAGCCAGGGGACACACAGAGACCUAAGAAUGUCAGAGGUUAAUUCCACAGCAAUUACUGCCCAACUGGUGCUCACCCACUGCCUGGGGAGCCACUCUCCAGCAGCAUGAAGAAGCUGGGGAACUGGAAGAAUGACUGCAGCCCUGGAGCCUCAGCACUGGGCGCAGGACGGGCUCUGUGAUGAACACUUGGCCAUAUCAGCUGCCAGCUCAGCUCACUCCUGCCCUUCUCACGUCUGCAGCACCAGGGCUGGCAGGGCUGCAGCCCAGGGCUCAGGGCAGGGUGCUGGCCAUGGCUGCAAGCACUGGCUGUGCCCACAAGCCAUGGCACUGCCCGGGCUGUGGCCACUCAGAGCCCUCUGAGCAGUGCUCUGGUUCCUCCUGCAUGUUAGCUCUGGUGUGUGCCAGCAGAGAGAGCCUCAGAAACAUAUAACCUGAGCUGCCCCCUCUCCCUCCCCAGAGUUUUAUCCCAGAUACAGAGUAGAAAGCUACCUCAGCAAACGAGAAAAGACCAAAUGCAGCAACUGGCCCAAGCUCGUGGUGCAGCUCGGAACACCCCUGGGGUCUGUCCUCCAGGAUGCCAGCCCAGACAGCAUCCCCCAAACCCACACCCCCUGCUGCAGCACCACCCAGACAGGGCACCUGAGAGCCCCCUCACACACCCAUGGGCUUCCCCAAAACAACACCUCUGUGCCCCAGACAGCGUCCCAGCUGAGCAAGAAGCUUCUGUGUUUGGCACCAAGCCUGGCUAGCAGCUCCAGCUCAGCCCUGGCUCACACUGAGGUUUCACUGCUGCAGCAGGUGACCCCACCCUGGAGAGCAUCACUGUGAGCCAUGGGCUGAGCCUGGUGUCCCCAGGUGUCACACGGAUGACGCUGGGAGCAGGCUGGGAGCAGCUGCUCCAGCAGCAGCCAGGGGACUCAGGCUCUGGCUGGGCAGUGCUAACGUGCACCUCAUAAUGAGACAUGCUGCUUCCUUCUAAAAUUACUCAAUUGAAAACGUACCUGUUUUGCUCUAUUUAAUCCUCUCCAUUACCAGCUGCUGGUUUUAGGUCAUUCCCUUUUCAAUGAAUUAAAAAUAACUUUGUGCGCUGCAGUGAGGUGCUUUUCAGACAUGAUCUAAGGCACCAGCCUGAGAGCAGGGCUGUGGUCUGAGCCACCAGGGCCAGGCACCACAGACACCCUCGUGCCACCCCAGCCCAGCCCCCAUGUACACUGCACCCAUGGACAAGGGGGUUUCACAUCCACACAUCCCCCAGACCUGAGCUGUACUCAUGCCCAUCAUCAGGACUUCAGACAAGGAUACCAGUAGAGCCUGGAUAACUACACUUUCACAUUUAAAAAAAAUACCCUAAAUAUUAAAAAACCCUCUUGUGAGUAGAAGCAUCUAGCCCAAGCCCAAAUGCACCCCAGCUGACAGAAGCACCAUUCCCCCAGCACCCAUGGUCUGGGCACUGGCUCUUUCCCUGGUGUGUCUGGGCAGUAACAGCAGCCUGGCACAGAAGAACAUCCAGAGGGCAGCUGGGGGAGUCCCACAGAGGAACCAGCUCAGGAUCAGAGAGUGACACCAGCUCCUUUCCAAAGGUGUCUCUGAACCAGCCAGAGGUUGGUCACGGCUGCUGCACACCCCACCUGCACCCUCGAGAGACACGACAGGGUGGUUGCUAAUGAAAAUGCACAUGUACUCGUGUUGAGAUGAUCAAUAAUUUAUGCCCAUUUCUCCUAAGGUUCCUUCAGCAGUUUUGUGACAACAGAAAGGAAAAAACCUUGCCUCUUUUUUGCUUUUUCCUUUCCUUCAUCACCUCCUACACACCCAGUGCCCCAAUGCGGGAAUUUAAAGCAAACAGUUUCCAUGGAGACCCAGCCCGCCGUCCUCCCUCCCCUCCCAUCCUCCCUUCCCUCGGCAUCUCUGUGCCUUCAUGCUCUCAUGCUAAAAAUAUCCAAGAUGGGAUUUGAUUUCCGCCGUAGCGAUACAGUUUUAUCAGAAAAAUGGGAAAUUUACAACA
Molecule: long non-coding RNA, 3213 nt
Organism: Passer domesticus (house sparrow)
Lineage: Eukaryota; Metazoa; Chordata; Aves; Passeriformes; Passeridae
Exons: 3
Source: RefSeq, a predicted model, not a curated record